This 492-nucleotide ribosomal RNA is filed under the name uncultured bacterium. Its description in RNAcentral is "partial 16S ribosomal RNA". It matches the Rfam family "Bacterial small subunit ribosomal RNA", at positions 28 to 507 of the family's 1533-position model. The record is from RNAcentral.
GGUGAACGCUGGCGGUAGGCCUAACACAUGCAAGUCGAACGGCAGCACAGUAAGAGCUUGCUCUUACGGGUGGCGAGUGGCGGACGGGUGAGGAAUACAUCGGAAUCUACUUUUUCGUGGGGGAUAACGUAGGGAAACUUACGCUAAUACCGCAUACGACCUACGGGUGAAAGCAGGGGAUCUUCGGACCUUGCGCGAUUGAAUGCGCCGAUGUCGGAUUGGCUAGUUGGCGGGGUAAAGGCCCACCAAGGCGACGAUCCGUAGCUGGUCUGAGAGGAUGAUCAGCCACACUGGAACUGAGACACGGUCCAGACUCCUACGGGAGGCAGCAGCGGGGAAUAUUGGACAAUGGGCGCAAGCCUGAUCCAGCCAUACCGCGUGGGUGAAGAAGGCCUUCGGGUUGUAAAGCCCUUUUGUUGGGAAAGAAAAGCAGCAGGUUAAUACCCCGCUGUUCUGACGGUACCCAAAGAAUAAGCACCGGCUAACUUCGUG